RNAcentral lists this ribosomal RNA (207 nucleotides) under uncultured bacterium. Its description in RNAcentral is "partial 16S ribosomal RNA". It matches the Rfam family "Bacterial small subunit ribosomal RNA", at positions 568 to 774 of the family's 1533-position model. The record is from RNAcentral.
CACGUAGGCGGAUUUGUUAGUCAGGGGUGAAAUCCCGGGGCUCAACCUCGGAACUGCCUUUGAUACUGCAAAUCUCGAGUCCGAUAGAGGUGGGUGGAAUUCCUAGUGUAGAGGUGAAAUUCGUAGAUAUUAGGAAGAACACCGGUGGCGAAGGCGGCCCACUGGAUCGGUACUGACGCUGAGGUGCGAAAGCGUGGGGAGCAAACA